GAGAAAACUCUUAAUAAUUUCUUUAUUAUUUUUUAUAGACAAUGUAAGUGAAGCAGCUGAUCACAUCUAUGCUAAUAUUGAACUGAAACCAAAGAAAGAAAUGAUGAAAAAGAAGACAUACAAGAAAGACAAUGAAAGUGAAGCAGGUGAUCACAUCUAUGCUAAUAUUGAACUGAUAUCUAAGAAAGAAAUGAAGAAAAAGAAGAGCGACAAGAAAGGAAAUACCAGUGAAUGUGGGAACAAAGUGUACUCUAAACUGAAGAAAGGAGGAGGUCAA
This is a non-coding RNA of Paramisgurnus dabryanus, 277 nucleotides long. NCBI's taxonomy places the organism in Eukaryota, Metazoa, Chordata, Actinopteri, Cypriniformes, Cobitidae. The record is from RefSeq and is a predicted model, not a curated record.